Molecule: unclassified non-coding RNA, 78 nt
Filed under: Pseudomonas moraviensis
Lineage: Bacteria; Pseudomonadati; Pseudomonadota; Gammaproteobacteria; Pseudomonadales; Pseudomonadaceae
Source: RNAcentral
AAAGAACGCAGCCUGCGGCAGCUCCUACGGGAUCGGGUUUUCACACGGUCGAUGGAGCUGUCGCAGGCUGCGAUCUUU